CUACGGGGCGCAGCAGUGGGGAAUAUUGCGCAAUGGGGGAAACCCUGACGCAGCAACGCCGCGUGGGUGAUGAAGGUUUUCGGAUCGUAAAACCCUGUUUUCUGGGACGAUAAUGACGGUACCAGAUGAGGAAGCCACGGCUAACUACGUGCCAGCAGCCGCGGUAAUACGUAGGUGACAAGCGUUGUCCGGAUUUACUGGGCGUAAAGGGUGCGUAGGCGGAUGCUUAAGUGAGAUGUGAAAUACCUAGGCUUAACUUAGGGGCUGCAUUUCAAACUGGGCAUCUAGAGUACAGGAGAGGGAAACGGAAUUCCUAGUGUAGCGGUGAUAUGCGUAGAGAUUAGGAAGAACACCAGUGGCGAAGGCGGUUUCCUGGACUGUAACUGACGCUGAGGCACGAAAGCGUGGGUAGCAAACAGGAUUAGAUACCCGGGUAGUC
Molecule: ribosomal RNA, 439 nt
Filed under: uncultured bacterium
Lineage: Bacteria
Description: partial 16S ribosomal RNA
Rfam family: Bacterial small subunit ribosomal RNA
Source: RNAcentral